This 84-nucleotide transfer RNA is filed under the name Pelodictyon luteolum DSM 273. RNAcentral's name for it is "Chlorobium luteolum DSM 273 tRNA". It matches the Rfam family "tRNA". From Rfam's summary of the family: Transfer RNA (tRNA) molecules are approximately 80 nucleotides in length. Their secondary structure includes four short double-helical elements and three loops (D, anti-codon, and T loops). Further hydrogen bonds mediate the characteristic L-shaped molecular structure. tRNAs have two regions of fundamental functional importance: the anti-codon, which is responsible for specific mRNA codon recognition, and the 3' end, to which the tRNAs corresponding amino acid is attached (by aminoacyl-tRNA synthetases). tRNAs cope with the degeneracy of the genetic code in two manners: having more than one tRNA (with a specific anti-codon) for a particular amino acid; and 'wobble' base-pairing, i.e. permitting non-standard base-pairing at the 3rd anti-codon position. Lineage: Bacteria; Pseudomonadati; Chlorobiota; Chlorobiia; Chlorobiales; Chlorobiaceae. The record is from Rfam by way of RNAcentral.
GCCAAAGUGGCGAAACUGGUAGACGCGCUGGACUCAAAAUCCAGUGGGCUAAUCCCCGUGUGGGUUCGAGUCCCACCUUUGGUA